AUUGAACGCUGGCGGCAGGCUUAACACAUGCAAGUCGAGCGGGGGAAGGUAGCUUGCUACUGGACCUAGCGGCGGACGGGUGAGUAAUGCUUAGGAAUCUGCCUAUUAGUGGGGGACAACAUCUCGAAAGGGAUGCUAAUACCGCAUACGUCCUACGGGAGAAAGCAGGGGAUCUUCGGGCCUUGCGCUAAUAGAUGAGCCUAAGUCGGAUUAGCUAGUUGGUGGGGUAAAGGCCUACCAAGGCGACGAUCUGUAGCGGGUCUGAGAGGAUGAGCCGCAACACUGGGACGGAGACACGGCCCAGACUCCUACGGGAGGCAGCAGUGGGGAAUAUUGGACAAUGGGGGGAACCCUGAUCCAGCCAUGCCGCGUGUGUGAAGAAGGCCUUAUGGUUGUAAAGCACUUUAAGCGAGGAGGAGGCUACUCUAGUUAAUACCUAGGGAUAGUGGACGUUACUCGCAGAAUAAGCACCGGCUAACUCUGUGCCAGCCGCCGCCGUAA
Molecule: ribosomal RNA, 501 nt
Filed under: uncultured bacterium
Lineage: Bacteria
Description: partial 16S ribosomal RNA
Rfam family: Bacterial small subunit ribosomal RNA
Source: RNAcentral